RNAcentral lists this ribosomal RNA (429 nucleotides) under Actinomycetes bacterium. RNAcentral describes it as "Actinobacteria bacterium partial 16S ribosomal RNA". It matches the Rfam family "Bacterial small subunit ribosomal RNA", at positions 355 to 776 of the family's 1533-position model. Lineage: Bacteria; Bacillati; Actinomycetota; Actinomycetes. The record is from RNAcentral.
UAGGGAAUCUUCCGCAAUGGGCGAAAGCUUGACGGAGCAACGCCGCGUGAGUGAUGAAGGUCUUCGGAUCGUAAAACUCUGUUAUUAGGGAAGAACAAAUGUGUAAGUAACUAUGCACGUCUUGACGGUACCUAAUCAGAAAGCCACGGCUAACUACGUGCCAGCAGCCGCGGUAAUACGUAGGUGGCAAGCGUUUUCCGGAAUUAUUGGGCGUAAAGCGCGCGUAGGCGGUUUUUUAAGUCUGAUGUGAAAGCCCACGGCUCAACCGUGGAGGGUCAUUUGAAACUGGAAAACUUGAGUGCAGAAGAGGAAAGUGGAAUUCCAUGUGUAGCGGUGAAAUGCGCAGAGAUAUGGAGGAACACCAGUGGCGAAGGCGACUUUCUGGACUGUAACUAACGCUGAUGUGCGAAAGCGGGGGGAUCAAACAGG